Molecule: ribosomal RNA, 497 nt
Filed under: uncultured bacterium
Lineage: Bacteria
Description: partial 16S ribosomal RNA
Rfam family: Bacterial small subunit ribosomal RNA
Source: RNAcentral
GAUGAACGCUGGCGGCGUGCCUAAUACAUGCAAGUCGAGCGAACAGACGAGGAGCUUGCUCCUCUGACGUUAGCGGCGGACGGGUGAGUAACACGUGGAUAACCUACCUAUAAGACUGGGAUAACUUCGGGAAACCGGAGCUAAUACCGGAUAAUAUAUUGAACCGCAUGGUUCAAUAGUGAAAGACGGUUUUGCUGUCACUUAUAGAUUGAUCCGCGCCGCAUUAGCUAGUUGGUAAGGUAACGGCUUACCAAGGCAACGAUGCGUAGCCGACCUGAGAGGGUGAUCGGCCACACUGGAACUGAGACACGGUCCAGACUCCGACGGGAGGCAGCAGUAGGGAAUCUUCCGCAAUGGGCGAAAGCUUGACGGAGCAACGCCGCGUGAGUGAUGAAGGUCUUCGGAUCGUAAAACUCUGUUAUUAGGGAAGAACAAAUGUGUAAGUAACUAUGCACGUCUUGACGGUACCUAAUCAGAAAGCCACGGCUAACUACGUG